GGGGAAGCUGCGUGCACAGUGCAGGCGGACAACUAGACACUUCACAUCUGGACUGACGUACUCAGUAGGAAAUGGCUGCUCUAACUACGAGUUCCUUCUCUGGCUGCUUGCCUGGACACGCCCUUGCUCGCGCUGGGCGCGGCACGCCCACGCAGGAACAAGGCUGCAGACAAAUGCGCAUCAGCGCACCUGGACCUGACGAGAGGGAGCGGCAUAAAAGCCAGCGGACCCAAGAGACCUUCGUCAGAAUUUAGCCAGUCUCCCCUGAUGUCUUCCCUGUUACCCGUGAUCGUGUAUUGCCUCACGACCCCCUCCCCGAUCUUUGCUUGCCUCCCUCGAUCCUCGACCACUGCCUGGACACGGACAUCAUUGCCUCUCUCCUGCCCUUGACUGACUGCCUCUUUGCCUUCCCCCUUGGAUUUGGUGAAAGAUUCACUCAACACACACAGACAACACCCACUGGUAAAUAUCACAUUGUUAAUUACACACAUCGUCCGCAUUCAUUCACUAGUGGUAGCAUACACAUCCCACACAUUCAUCAAAGGUUUAAGUAAACCUUCUAAA
Molecule: long non-coding RNA, 564 nt
Organism: Nerophis lumbriciformis (worm pipefish)
Lineage: Eukaryota; Metazoa; Chordata; Actinopteri; Syngnathiformes; Syngnathidae
Source: RefSeq, a predicted model, not a curated record